UGUAAAUCGCACGGAUCUUGCAGAGUUUGGUCGAGACCGACAUAAGUCGGUUGAGUAACCGUUUACCAAUCACUGUUCAAUCUUCAGGGUUUAGAUCCCUGUUUGAUGGGCUUAUAGCUCAGCAGGUUAGAGCGCACGCCUGAUAAGCGUGAGGUCGAUGGUUCGAGUCCAUUUAAGCCCACUGCUCUAAUUUGUGAGCAAAGCACCUUGACAACUACAUAGAGAGAAAAGAGUAAACAAGAGAAGAAGACGAAAGGUCUUGCAAAGGCAAGUCUGCCGUAUUCGGAAGGAUACGGAGAAGAUAAACCGGAACGCAAGUCUUAAGAAUUCAUCUACUAAAAGAUUUACGACGAGAACCGAGAAGGUCAAGUUACAAAGAGCGCAGGGUGAAUGCCUUGCCACCAUCAGGCGAAGAAGGACGUGACAAGCUGCGAAAAGCUUCGGGGAGGAGCACAUAUGGGUGGAUCCGGAGAUAU
This 476-nucleotide unclassified non-coding RNA is filed under the name uncultured Clostridium sp. RNAcentral's name for it is "partial 16S-23S ribosomal RNA intergenic spacer". The stretch from base 108 to 181 matches the Rfam family "tRNA". Lineage: Bacteria; Bacillati; Bacillota; Clostridia; Eubacteriales; Clostridiaceae. The record is from RNAcentral.